CCAGAAGCCGGUAGCCUAACCUUCGGGAGGGCGCCGUCCACGGUGUGGUCGAUGACUGGGGUGAAGUCGUAACAAGGUAGCCGUAGGGGAACCUGCGGCUGGAUCACCUCCUUUAAA
Molecule: ribosomal RNA, 117 nt
Filed under: Alkalilimnicola sp. S0819
Lineage: Bacteria; Pseudomonadati; Pseudomonadota; Gammaproteobacteria; Chromatiales; Ectothiorhodospiraceae
Description: partial 16S ribosomal RNA
Rfam family: Bacterial small subunit ribosomal RNA
Source: RNAcentral